GGCCUUGUAUUCAAGGAGUGAUUAUAGAAUGCAAUUCUAUAGGGGUGGGCGAAGUAGGUUCACCAAGGCCU
This 71-nucleotide transfer RNA is filed under the name Prorhinotermes canalifrons. RNAcentral's name for it is "tRNA-Cys". Lineage: Eukaryota; Metazoa; Arthropoda; Insecta; Blattodea; Rhinotermitidae. The record is from RNAcentral.